AAGUCGAACGAAGUAGCAAUACUUAGUGGCAGACGGGUGAGUAACAUGUGGGUAUCUACCCUUUGGCCUGGAAUAACACGAGGAAACUUGUGCUAAUACUGGAUAAGUCUUUACGGAGAAAGCUUUAUGCACCAUUGGAUGAGCCCGCACUUGAUUAGUUUGUUGGUGGGGUAAUGGCCUACCAAGACUGUGAUCAAUAGCUGAUUUGAGAGGAUGAUCAGCCACAUUGGGACUGAGACACGGCCCAAACUCCUACGGGAGGCAGCAGUGGGGAAUCUUGCACAAUGGAGGAAACUCUGAUGCAGCGAUGCCGCGUGAGUGAAGAAGGCCCUUGGGUUGUAAAGCUCUUUCGUCGGGGAAGAAAAUGACUGUACCCGAAUAAGAAGGUCCGGCUAACUUCGUGCCAGCAGCCGCGGUAAUACGAAGGGACCUAGCGUAGUUCGGAAUUACUGGGCUUAAAGAGUUCGUAGGUGGUUGAAAAAGUUGGUGGUGAAAUCCCAGAGCUUAACUCUGGAACUGCCAUCAAAACUUUUCAGCUAGAGUAUGAUAGAGGAAAGCAGAAUUUCUAGUGUAGAGGUGAAAUUCGUAGAUAUUAGAAAGAAUACCAAUUGCGAAGGCAGCUUUCUGGAUCAUUACUGACACUGAGGAACGAAAGCAUGGGUAGCGAAGA
This 670-nucleotide ribosomal RNA is filed under the name uncultured Alphaproteobacteria bacterium. RNAcentral describes it as "bacterial SSU rRNA". It matches the Rfam family "Bacterial small subunit ribosomal RNA", at positions 59 to 774 of the family's 1533-position model. Lineage: Bacteria; Pseudomonadati; Pseudomonadota; Alphaproteobacteria. The record is from RNAcentral.